GACGAACGCUGGCGGCGUGCUUAACACAUGCAAGUCGAGCGGUAAGGCCCUUCGGGGUACACGAGCGGCGAACGGGUGAGUAACACGUGAGCAACCUACCCUCAACUUCGGGAUAAGCCUCGGAAACGGGGUCUAAUACCGGAUAUCACUCCGAGCUUCGUGGUUUGGGGUUGAAAGUUCUGGCGGUUGGGGAUGGGCUCGCGGCCUAUCAGCUUGUUGGUGGGGUAAUGGCCUACCAAGGCGUCGACGGGUAGCCGGCCUGAGAGGGCGACCGGCCACACUGGGACUGAGAUACGGCCCAGACUCCUACGGGAGGCAGCAGUGGGGAAUAUUGCACAAUGGGCGCAAGCCUGAUGCAGCGACGCCGCGUGGGGGAUGACGGCCUUCGGGUUGUAAACUCCUUUCAGCACAGACGAAGCGCAAGUGACGGUAUGUGCAGAAGAAGGACCGGCCAACUACGUGCCGGCAGCCGCGGUAAUACGUACGGUCCGAGCGUUGUCCGGAAUUAUUGGGCUUAAAGAGCUCGUAGGCGGUCUGUCGCGUCGGAUGUGAAAACCCGGGGCUUAACCCCGGGCCUGCAUUUGAUACGGGCAGACUCGAGUGUGGUAGGGGAGACUGGAACUCCUGGUGUAGCGGUGAAAUGCGCAGAUAUCAGGAAGAACACCGGUGGCGAAGGCGGGUCUCUGGGCCACUACUGACGCUGAGGAGCGAAAGCGUGGGGAGCGAACAGGAUUAGAUACCCUGGUAGUCCACGCCGUAAACGUUGGGCGCUAGGCGUGGGGGACUUUCCACGUCCUCCGUGCCGCAGCUAACGCAUUAAGCGCCCCGCCUGGGGAGUACGGCCGCAAGGCUAAAACUCAAAGGAAUUGACGGGGGCCCGCACAAGCGGCGGAGCAUGUGGCUUAAUUCGACGCAACGCGAAGAACCUUACCAAGGCUUGACAUACGCAGAAAUCCGGCAGAGAUGUCGGGUCCGCAAGGGCUGCGUACAGGUGGUGCAUGGUUGUCGUCAGCUCGUGUCGUGAGAUGUUGGGUUAAGUCCCGCGACGAGCGCAACCCUCGUUCCAUGUUGCCAUGCGGGUAAUGCCGGGGACUCAUGGGAG
Molecule: ribosomal RNA, 1102 nt
Filed under: uncultured Actinomycetes bacterium
Lineage: Bacteria; Bacillati; Actinomycetota; Actinomycetes
Description: bacterial SSU rRNA
Rfam family: Bacterial small subunit ribosomal RNA
Source: RNAcentral